This 1271-nucleotide long non-coding RNA is filed under the name Bemisia tabaci. RNAcentral describes it as "lncRNA ENSSSA3NGG010854". Lineage: Eukaryota; Metazoa; Arthropoda; Insecta; Hemiptera; Aleyrodidae. The record is from RNAcentral.
ACCUUUACCUUAUGUAGAAAAUAACUUUUCGUUUUGUAGUAAAUACCACCGCAUUAAGCUUACUAGCUAAUGAAGUGGCUUUUACAGCCAUUUGUAAAACAUUUUUACUUGUUUUUUAUAAGGAGGAUUUCAAUAUUGGUUUGUCCUUAAAAAAGGAUAUCAACAGAGGCACUAUAAAAACACAUGUCUUGAUUGCAGCGUUCAAUAAUUUGUGCCUCUGCUUUAUUUUUCUUAAGAAUUUUACCCGUUAUUUUUGUCAAAAAUUUCGUGAGGAUAUUCGUGAAGAGGCGAAAAGAAUCAUACAACAUUUUUUGCAGUAAUGAUAAUUGCUCAUGCCUCUAAAAAGUAAAAUAUGAUCGGAUAUCUGCUGUAUAAAAAACUGUGAUACAUAUCGAUAUUGAAACUGCAGGAAUUUGUAUACUGUUUUUUUUUUUACAUUGGCAACUUUCUGUCUCACCAUAUUGAAAUGGAAGAAUACUCAAUGUCAUUCCUUGAACAUUUCCUGAUUUAGCCUCUGUGUGUGAACAUUAUUCUGUGAAAAUUUCAAGCCAAAGCAUUCGUUUGUUCUCAUUUGAUGAAAUAAAAUGGGAGUGCAGAAUUUGAAACACAACCGCAAAAAAGAUAUGCGUUCCUUCAGUUUUACCUUUGACAUGUAUUUUUUAUAGUUUUGCCAUCAAAGUGGAACUUUACCUGACCUGAAAAGUAAAAUAUGCAGUUGAAGAGAGGCAAAGAAUUAUAUUUUUAUUUCCAAUGAGCCAGACAAUUUAAUUAUAAAAUAAAUGAUUGAGCCCACAGAGGCCAGCAAAGAGAUUUAUCUUCCAUUUUAUUUUCUCAGCUGAGCCUGUCCUGGACUGUGCAAUUUGCAAUGAAAUUAUGGAGAAAUUCAGCCCAACAUCCAAGGCUCCAAAAACUUAGAAGAAAUCAAAGAUCUCAUAAUGCGAGCAUGCUUUCAAUGGUACCCUCGCAUUUCUCUCAGUGUCUAGAAUUCCUACCCAAAUAUGGGCCGCAUUUACGGGACUCUAUUAUUGCUGAUUCAACUGUACCUCCAGCUCAGAUUUGCCUUAACACAAAAACACUCAUUUGCUCACCAAAUUCCAAAGAGACGCAAUCAUCGCCCUAUCAGUCGGCUGCUGAUGUAGAAAAUCUGCCUAAGAAAUUGCAUCCACUCGGCACCGGUUCCCUCAUGCGAGCAAUAGCCCUACAAGUUUGUGAGCAUGUAGUCGAGAAGUUUCUUGGUCAACUGGAGAAUGUGUGUACAACAUUUUUGGACC